AGAGGGAGAGGUGGAAGAAGAAUAGAUGUGGAGUUUAGACACAUAACAGAACAUGACAUUGAGAAGAGGAUGAAGAGAAAGAGUUGGCCAGAUUAACUGUAGAAUAUAUGCUCUCGUCUGGGUAGAGUGGAUGGUGGAUUUUGUCUGCUGACAUCGGAGGGUUGGAGUUAAGGGUAGAAUGGAUGGUGGAUUCUGUCUGCUGACAUCGGAGGGUUGGAGUUAAGGGUAGAAUGGAUGGUGGAUUCUGUCUGCUGACAUCGGAGGGUUGGAGUUAAGGGUAGAAUGGAUGGUGGAUUCUGUCUGUGGACAUCGGAGGGUUGGAGUUAAGGGUAGAAUGGAUGGUGGAUUCUGUCUGCUGACAUCGGAGGGUUGGAGUUAAGGGUAGAAUGGAUGGUGGAUUCUGUCUGCUGACAUCGGAGGGUUGGAGUUAAGGGUAGAAUGGAUGGUGGAUUCUGUCUGCUGACAUCGGAGGGUUGGAGUUAAGGGUAGAAUGGAUGGUGGAUUCUGUCUGCUGACAUCGGAGGGUUGGAGUUAAGGGUAGAAUGGAUGGUGGAUUCUGUCUGCGGACAUUGGAGGGUUGGAGUUAAGGGUAGAAUGGAUGGUGGAUUGGCCGCUGUGCUCGAAGAGGAAAUGAGGAAUGCAUAAUUAUUUAAGUACAGGUACCAUAGAUGUGAGCGAAAUAGCUUUAAGUAGCAGUAGAAGUAUUGUUGUUCGUUAGUUUAGUCCAAUUAGGGGGAAAGUAUACAUUUAAAAAAUGAAAUGAAAAAAAUUCAAAGGAUGAUUUGAAAUUACGCAAACAAUUAAAUUCAUAGAAAUUCAUACAAUGUUUCUGCAACAUUAAAGCUGAUCUACCCCACCACACAAAACACAAAUACAAAUAAAUGGCCCCCUUCAUAGUUGGUCCUCAGACAGAAGGUCUUGGUCCGCGCUGGGUGUUUGGUCCUCAGACAGAAGGUCUAGGGUGCGCUGGGUGUUUGGUCCUCAGACAGAAGGUCUAGGGAGCGCUGGGUGUUUGGUCCUCAGACAGAAGGUCUAGGGCGCGCUGGGUUUUUGGUCCUCAGACAGAAGGUCUAGGGAGCGCUGGGUGUUUGGUCCUCAGACAGAAGGUCUAGGGAGCGCUGGGUGUUUGGUCCUCAGACAGAAGGUCUAGGGAGCGCUGGGUGUUUGGUCCUCAGACAGAAGGUCUAGGGAGCGCUGGGUGUUUGGUCCUCAGACAGAAGGUCUAGGGAGCGCUGGGUGUUUGGUCCUCAGACAGAAGGUCUAGGGCGCGCUGGGUGUUUGGUCCUCAGACAGAAGGUCUAGGGCGCGCUGGGUGUUUGGUCCUCAGACAGAAGGUCUAGGGCGCGCUGGGUGUUUGGUCCUCAGACAGAAGGUCUAGGGAGCGCUGGGUGUUUGGUCCUCAGACAGAAGGUCUAGGGAGCGCUGGGUGUUUGGUCCUCAGAC
Oncorhynchus keta (chum salmon) is the source of this 1443-nucleotide long non-coding RNA. RefSeq lists it as uncharacterized. The transcript is spliced from 3 exons. NCBI's taxonomy places the organism in Eukaryota, Metazoa, Chordata, Actinopteri, Salmoniformes, Salmonidae. The record is from RefSeq and is a predicted model, not a curated record.